This 266-nucleotide long non-coding RNA is filed under the name Elaeis guineensis (African oil palm). RNAcentral's name for it is "long non-coding RNA (EGUI_LNC019399)". The record is from RNAcentral. Lineage: Eukaryota; Viridiplantae; Streptophyta; Magnoliopsida; Arecales; Arecaceae.
AAGACCCCCUCUCUUUAGAAUCGAUCCAUCGACUCUUUUCCCCUCUUUUUCUCUCCGAUUUUCCCGAAGAAGAGCCGCGGGCACAGUUGGGUUCUCGCCGUGUUUUCUCUCCGACGAGGUCCCAAGAGGCCGAGGUAAGUUCUUCUCUUUUUCCUCCCUUCCUUCCUCUUUUCCCCGUGCGUUUGUGCGCGGUGGCCGGCGACGAACAUCGCCGAUUUUUGGUCGGGAAAAGACUCUGUUUUUUGGGCUUAUUUUUCGUGAAAUCU